RNAcentral lists this long non-coding RNA (648 nucleotides) under Triticum aestivum (bread wheat). Its description in RNAcentral is "long non-coding RNA (TAES_LNC028533)". The record is from RNAcentral. Lineage: Eukaryota; Viridiplantae; Streptophyta; Magnoliopsida; Poales; Poaceae.
AAGAAGAUGAAUCAGACAAAUGGAGCUAGAUGGUGCAAUAUCCCAGGUUGCUGCUCCAAUCUACAUGGCCGAAUUGAUUAAGGGCUCUUCAAUCACCACCACCACCACGGUUAGCAUUCCCUUGCUUGUGACCCACAAUCACAGUCAAUCAGUCACUGCAAGUAUUAAAGCAGUAAGAACACGCACACUCAUCCACAUCUGUUUCUGGCGAACAUAUGUGCCAGCUGCAUGCAAAUUGGGAUGAGUUGUUCUUUCAGUAUACGAAAAUAUUUGCAACACAAAGAAUCUCUGUUUAUUACACUAUUUUCUCAAGCAAACAUCGCCUGGCUUUCAUAGUGGUCAUAUUGAGAUAAUUGAAACUUGGCGAUAGAAGUAAAUGAAGCAUGAUCACACACACACACACACACAAAGCUACUUUCAUUGGGAACUUAGAUGAUUGAUUAGGAGAAAGAAAAGUAAAGAACAUCAAACAAGUCAAAAAAUUUACAAAGGAAAACACAGAGAAUUUGCUACUACCUUGAUUAAGAACCUGAACAGUGCAGUAGUGAUCAACAUGCAAAGAAAAAAAUGCUUCAUGGGCCGCUGCCAAGAUCACACCUUCUUCUUCCACACUGUCCGUCAGCUCAGCACCGACAGCCAACAGGUAGC